GAAUGGAAUCUGCUCCCCUGUGUUCCUUGCAGUGAAAAAUACCCUUUCCUGAAUAAUUAGCUCAGCUGAAGAAGCUUAUAAAUUCUUCGCAAGGUCCUUUUUCCUUCCGAGUAGCGAGGAGAAAAUUUUCCACCUCUCACAAUUACAGUCACGAUGAUGGAUGUGUGUCACGUAGGUAACAAAUGUGCCUGAGCAGGAGUCCUGUGCAUGAACUGUGUGGAGAACAGAGGAGGCUCAAACCCAGGCUCAGAUUUUGCAUUUGAAUUAAUGUCUGCAAAGGGGAUGCAGAAUUAAUAGGCUGAAGGACGAUUCACAUUAAUUUCUCAUUUGCUUCAAUAACAGGAAAUCUCUGGGACCAGCGGACAAUGUGGUGAUGACGUUUACUUACACGUCCCUUACUAAUGAUGUCCAAAGGUGGCCAGAUUACUCACCCCUCUGCAGAUGAGCUCCAGGUCAAGGCUGCAGCCAAAAGCAAUAGCAGCACAUCCCAGAGGAGCAUCCCUCUCUUCUGCUUGGAUUCGGGCAAAACAGCGAGACGAGGAGUGCAUCUGUAAUCAGUGAUUCCAGGGCCACACAAUUACCUCAUAAUUAGAGAAAUAAUUACUCCCAUUUAGCUUCCCAACUCUUUGCAACAUCAUCAGUCACAGAAGCCUCCCUCCCUGUGCUUGCUCAGGGCCAUGCAAGUGGGGACUGGAGUCUCUCUCCACUGUUCAAAGCAAAAGAAGAUUUUCUGCAAUUGUUGAGUUUUCACGGAGCCAGUGGGAGUUAAACAUCUGGCUUGAAAAAUGUAUUUGCACUCAGGCAGGUCUGGCAGGUCUUCAAGUGGAUCCUGACCUACUCGUAGAUAUUUUUUCCUGCCUAGUCUCACAUGCAACCAUAUUUUCCAGGUGCACUUAUCUACCUGUCACAAACAAUGAUGUAUAACCCUGAAGAAAGCAAAGCAGGUGAUUACCUUUCCCCAGUCAAGUGCAGUGGAAAGGUCAGAUUUAAUAUGAAGCUGAGGGGCGAUGAAAUGACACAGAAAAUGUACAAAAAUAGAGAGUAGCCACGCUGGGAGGGAAGCGUGGGGUCUGCUGGUCCCCGUGGGACAGCCAGCACCACAGACACCCCAUUCAUCCCCACACAGGCUCUUCAUUGCUCCCUGGUCUUUGAUUUGGGACUUGGCUCCACUGUCAUGGAAGAUACAUUUUGGGGAAUAUGUGAAUUAGGCAGGUGAAUCAUUUCCAUCUGCAUGGCCUUCAGCCCCCUGUGGUGGCUGCACAGAGCCACUGACAUCCAGCACCCGCCAGCUCCCUGGGUCCCCCCAAAGGAAUUGGAUUGUUCCAGGCUUUUAUGAUGGAAAAUAUAUUUUUCCUCAGUCCUACCCUUCCAAUGGCUGGGGAGCUGCCACGUGUUGUAUACACAGUCCUGUAGUUACUUAUUUUAAUCUUGGCAGUGUCUUUGAGCAUUGCUGGACUCCUACAAAAUCAGCACCUAAAUGGAAAUAAAUGCACAAUGCUGCAGCUCCCUGCAUUCAGAGGAAUUCAGUGUAGUCCCUUCCCAUGCCCUAAAUGCAACUGGGUGUUUCACAACCUCUGUAUCUAAAUUAGAUUUUUCCAUGCACAUUUUUUUUCUCUGAGUCCUGCCUAAAACCCAGAGCAAAUUCCAAGGAGAAAUUCUGACCACUCACUAGGGCUUGAGCCCCACAUCCAAAGCACUUAGGCUGAAGAUCCAAGAUCAGCUGCAGAAAACAGAAGCUCCUUUUAAAAUAGUUUCACAGUUGAAAACAAGCUCCUGCUUUUACUCUCCCACGUAAUUUUGAGUUCAGGAUUCAAAGCCCCUUUCUGCACCCAGGUCCAUGCAAACCCAUGUGGAUGGAUGAAUGCCUUCAAGGUUAUGGGUAAGACCUCAAACCUGGAAGUGGUUAUUCUCAAAGCUGAGAAAGGAAAAUUCCUGAAGGUCUCCAUGAUAAGUUGAUAAGAAAUAAUGGAGAAUUGUUUCAUUUAAACACAAAGAACAAUUCAGCCACAGCAUGACUCGUGAUUGAGACAUUGUGGAAGUUAUCAGAUGAAUGUCUGCAUGCUAAAUCUUUUUAGUUAUUGAAGAGAAAUGUAACAAUAUAUUGUCCAUGAUGAAGCCUGGGCUUCCUGGAAGGGUACCCUGCCUUGCUGCUGCUUCGUGUUCCCCAUGUCUGCCUCUGCCUUUCAAAUGAGUGCCGUGAAUCACAGUCUAAUAGCAAUGUUACAAAGAACUACUUCUUUCCUAGGAAGUCAGAUCAAUCCCACUUAAAAGUGAACUCUGUGAAUGUGCCAAAUAUUUAGAGCAUAAAUCUCAAACCCAGGAGUGGGCUGCUUCCUUUAUCUGCAGAUCCUGGGCAUGAUCCAGAUACCAGCACUCCCAGCAUCUCCUGCAGGCCCACGGUGUGAGCUCAUGAGGGCAAUUAAGAAAAACUCUACAUAGAAUCAAAAUUAUAUUCAGAAAACCCAACCAACAGCUGAUUCUGGUGAGCUAAAAAUCAGUAUAUCAUCUAAACUAGUCACCUAGACCUUUCCUACUGGAAGUUUGCUUUCUCACAGGGCCCCUUUGAGCCACCCCAUCUGAAAUGCAGCACCACCGACUGAAGAGCUGGUUUCAAACCUCUUUAAGACCCGUAUGAAGAGUGUAUGCCCUGCAGCAAGUUUGGCAGUCAGCACUUUAAAAAAUAAACUCAGCUCCAGAAUGAUCAUUUGCAUAGUGCAUGGUGACUAAAAUUAGCCUGCCUCGACUCCAUCGCGGGAGGAAGUCUGAGUUGCCACUGCAGUUUCAGGAUUCUUGGCUUUCAGAGAAGUUCGUAGCAUCCGAGGAACACAGACGUGUCUUCUGUGCAGCCCUGCUCCUCUUGGCUGGCACUGCUCUCCCAAACUGCAUCUCAAAGCUGUCGUGCAGCACCAGCAAAAGCCUCCUUCUUCCUCACAUGGGAAACCAGAAUGUGCUGAAACCUCUGAAAGCCUUAUUUUCAGUAUGAAAUUGUUUGGGAGACGGAUUAGUAAGGAGAGAAUGCACUGCAGGUCACAAAUGGUCUGCCCUGGGUGUAGGAAGCGUAAACCUUCUUGAGAGUUAAUGCCCACAUGAGACAGAGGUUUCUCAAAGCAGAGGUGUGCUGGAAGGUGCUCUGCAGGAGACAUGCACCAUGUAAAGUUGGGUUAGGUCUGGUGGUUUAACCUUCAUUAGCUGCUGGAUGAAGGUGAGAUCCCCAACCUGAUUCUCAGCCACUGCCCCACAACAUAAUUGUAAGAGCUUUUGUUCCUCUGCCAUAAUUUAAUAUUGUGAUUUGGCCAGCCAGAAAGCUCACAUGCUCCCUCGGUCUCAUUUAAUUCUGCAGAUGAACAGAUGUCCAUAGGAGGUCAUGCUAGUCCACCAUGGAUGUCCCUGUUGAACUUAAAUUAUUCAAAAAGUUGGUCAUCAGCUAAGAGCUAAGCUGUUGGGGCUUUUUUGUGUUCUUUUUUUUAAUUUUCAUUUCAGCUUGAGAUGUGGCUGUAGCUUCUCUCCCCAAGAUGCAUAAAUAAUUAAUGCAGUUAUGAAGUGGGAUCACUCAGGACCUGUGUAAAGAGUGCUGCUGGCUCAGAUCCCCCUCUCACCUACUGAACAAACCUAGCUCAGCUCCCAUCCUUCAUCUACCCUCCACCCAGGUCAGGCCUUGAGCCCUCAGGCCACAUUUCACAGGGUUUUGGUUCCUCUGUCACUGCAAGGUCCCAGAUACCUUUGAAUCCAAGAUCACAGCUACCAGAGGCUUGUAGCUUAAUAUUUCUAUUAAAUUUGUACAAAAUAAUUUGUAGUGACAAUCCAGUUAAGUACUGGUUUUUAGAUUUUAUAUGAAUGCAAGCCAGCAACUAAUUUCAUUUUCUGCUGUGUUGUAGGAUUGAAAUGUAAUGAUUCACCCUUAAAAAUACAUUUUAAAUGAUGUAGUUACUACUCUGACUAUAGUAUAUACCUUAUGGAGGGGGCCCAGAGUAAAAGCUCAGUGAUGUGCAGAGUCCUGGCUGGAUGCAAUUAGGAACAGAGCAGCCCCAUGACAUGAAAUCUGAUGAUACAUUGAACUUCUGACCUAUAGGAGAAAUCCGAUCGUCACCACCCAGCUUCUUCUUCAUUUCAGCUCUGUUCAGGAAAACAAAAGUCUUCAUUCAGCAUUCAAUUUUCUCCACCCUUCACCACUGGAAUUUUUAUAUGAGCUGAAUUAAAUAUGCCAGACUUUGAAGGUAAAUGUCCUAAGUGGCUCAGUGAUAUCCAUGGUGUCUGUUUCUUUAGCUAUUGUCAUUAAGCCUCAUUCUGUUCUGAUGAGGCCCUACAGGAAAACGAGGUGCUGCUGUGUACAGCUUCACUGUGGUUUAAGCAGAAUAAAAUACAGACUGUAGUCUGAGUACUACUGAGGUUUUGCCUACUUUAGCCACAGUCUCUGCUCUGAAGCUACUAAGUAUUAACCCUGAAGUCCUUAUUCAGGAUUCCCAAUAUCCAAGGCAAAGUUUGAGCCAGGCACAGGCUCAAAUUUAAUUUACCCAGAGUUUAAUUACCAGGCAGAGGUGGUGAGUUGGGGGGGAAGCGCCCAAUAACCCGUGGGGUGUCACCGCCAUGGGGCCGACACCUCGGCAGUGUGGUGUGGAGAUAAUUAGGCCCUAAAAGACAUGGCACCAUGGCUGGAUGGAGGCCAGCUCAGCAGUCCUGCUUAUCUGAGCUCCUGCUCAGUUUCAGGCAUGUUGCUCUUUGCUCAUCCACGGCUGAGCUCCCCGGGGCCCGGGCGUGCGUAAGAGGACAAGGGCUCUACCCACCCCUGCUCUGAUAAGCUAAAAACAGAUUGAAGGUCUAAGUCGACUACACUUGAGCAUGUGAUAAAAUUCUUUGCUAAACUGGGGCCUAAGUCAGUGUGCUCUUAGGGUGGAACUCAAAUAGCUGCUCUUGGAGGAGGAAGAACAGGCACAUGAACGGAGCCAAAGGUUCUCCUGGGGUGAUGGGCUGGGGUGAGCAGCAAGAGCCCGAGCAAAUGGGGAAAUGGCCUGAUGCAAGAGGAGGAAGGACUGUGUGACUGGCUGUGUGGCUAUGGCUUGGGAGGAGGAAUUUCCUUGUGGGAAUGUUGCCAGGAGGGUGAGGAAAUCGCUUGCUUUUCUGAGCUGAAGCAACUAAUGAAGGAGGGGUGAGAACAAAGGUUCUGUGCUGUGGGUGGUGUUACUGAGACACAGCAGGAGUGGUGAUUUGGGUUGUGGGCUCCAAAAUAGCACACUGGCUUCAGACCUUGAAAACUCUGAAAGGUUAAAGUUAUAGACCUCUUCUCCCAUAAAUAUCUGUGGUAACCAUUCAGGAGGUCUAGAGCAAUGGCUUGUGUAGUCGAGGAUAAAAAUAACCCAGGUCUAAGAUACCAGCCCCAGAUUUUAUCCAAAGUUCUGGAGACCAAGUGUUAGCUGAGUCCCUGGAGCUCCUCAUCACACCAAGCUGCUGCUGCUGGACUGCCUGUUCUCUCUCUUUGUGCUUCCUUUGGGGCUUUUGGGCCACCUCACAGUUCCUCGUUUUAAAAAAGUACUGAAACUUUUUCACCAUGAAAUAGGGGAGAGCUUCUGUCCUUCUGAAAGAAUUUGUGGAAAAGGCAUGGAAGGAUUAGAAAGAAAUUAUACCAGCUUUUGUCUCUUUUGGAAAAUAAGUAAAUUGCAAUCUGAGUAGAGGGGACCACAACUUCCGAGGAAAACACUUCAAUACAUCAGGAACUACGCUCUGAAACUGCUAGUGCAAGAACCUAUCUUCCCCACUCACAAAGACACUUCAGCUAAGGCCAAAAAAUCUGUGAAAGACAGAACCAACCAACCUCCCAAAAAUGCAUUCCCCGCUAAGGGGGGUUUUGGGCACCAUGCUGGCUGACAAGAGGCUCGGAGCUGUGCAGAAAAGCUGUUUCUGGAGAUAUUCCUACUACACCAAGGGAAAGAAGAUUUCACGCCUGAAGGAUCUCCUUGAUUACAUCUCCAUUUCGUAGGCACCAUCUACAACUAGUUAGAACCUAAAAAUGGAAAUUUCUUCUGCUCAGAAGAGACAGCAGCCUCUUUUCUCUUCUUAUAUCAGAAAAAAAAAAUGUUUUGAACUGACUCUUCUAGAUAAAUAGCACUUAGAAGUAAGUGUAGUGCUCAUGAUGAAUCUCAUGUAGGGAUUUGCAGUCACUUUUCAUGACACAGAUCACAAAUUAAUUAAGAAAAUCUUGUCUCUUGGAAACUCUUCUAUUCACAGUCGCAUCAAAUCACUGUAGCAGUAACUUGCAUGGAAAAAUAACAAUUAGGGAUAUUUUUAUUUUUAGCUGUCUUAAUGAAAUAUAGCAGAUGGAAAUAAAGAGGAGAAGCCCGUCCUAUGUGACUAGCCAUCUGUCUGGGGAUCAGCAACAAGUGUUUCAUGGAUCACAGCUAGAAAAUUAGUGGGUAAUUAAUGUCAGUCUUCAAGCUACCUUACAAUUCUUCACACUCAUUAUUCUAUUCUAUAGAAUGGCUUUCAAAUGCCACCCAGAGCUUACCCAGCUGUGAGAGAUGUGCUCCUAGCACCACCCCUGGCUUUAGAGCACUAAACUUCGGGCUGAGCACCAGCAGUUCCCUCCCAUCCUGCCCUCCCUCUCACACAAAGCUGUCAGUGAUCACACAGAAUCCACUCUCCCGACUACCGUGAUCCCAAGGACUACUCCAGUCAAUCUAAAUUUGCCUUUAAGAUGUUCCAAUCCCACCCUCGGCUCUCCAGCACACCAAGCACUGGGAUUUGCACUGGGCAUGCCAUGGAAACCAGGUUACCAACUUUACCAAGGGGUAAAGAGCUAUUAUCCAAAACCAGUUUCUUGUGUUGGGUUUAUUUCUGGCAUGCGGCUUUUCCGAGUCCGUUGAGUAGCUGCUCUGGAAUCUCGCUCUCCAAACCUGCUCCAAUGACUUCCACGCACUGCUCUGCUGGAGGAAGCCUGCCUUGUUUAAUGACAUCCUAAACAGACACACAAUCCUGAGCACUGCUAAAGGUCAGGCAGCCCAAACUUUUGGAGAUGAGAUACUUGCUCAGUGCUGUCAUCGUUAAACCCUCUCAGUUCCCACACAUGCUGUAUUACGUCUCUGGGUUGUUCUCCCCUUCCUUUUUGGGAACAUCAAUGCCUUCACACAAGAAAGGUUUUGUAUUUCACCAUUACAGAGUAGUGCUUAUUCUUCUUUGGUAAGAGGAUAUUGUUAUCAGGCUGUUUUAUCUUUGUUUAUUACCUCCAUUCCUCCAGCUGCUACAAUUCGCUUGAUACUGGUUUGGUUAUUUUUAUGCUUUGAUUUAAGAACAGUGUGCUCCAAGGUUGCACUUAAAGAAAUGCCCAAGGAGCAGAGCCAAGGGAGUCAUCAGCUUGUUUACUGGACUGAGCUGAGCCCUACACGAUGCCUUAGCAAAUAACCUCUCUUCCUGGAAAUUCACAGAUAACUGUUAAACUCUACUGUAUAGCAUAAACAUAAUUAAUCUUCACAAAACCCCGGGCAUGCAACAUCUGAAUGUGACAUAGCAGGGGGAAAUUUUGUUAUUCUUCAUACAGGGAAAGUGGCCCCACUGACAGAGCUUAAAUCUAGGGAAUCCUCUUUGUAGACCUGCUCGGGUUUUGGCUGUGUCUAUUACUUUUAUGGCUCUUUUUUCGCCCCUUCUGAAUGAGUAAGCAAUCACAGUUUGCUGACAAAUGCCAAAUAUUUGCAAACAUGUUUCAGUCUGUCCUUUCCAAGCUUGAAGGUAGAUUUACAAGUCAUGGAAAUGUUCCCUCCACUCUGCAUCGAUGCUUUCAUUCUCCCUCCUCCUUCCAGCCCACCUCAAAACAGAUGAAGGAAUCUGGGCUGGGAUGGGAUUAGGAUGUCAGUAGAGGGAUGCUGUCAAUCAGCCCCUCCCUUCCCACUUUCCUCUGAAAAAGGAGAAACCUCACCUGUAAGGAAAUCGUCUGAUUUGCCCCCCAGCUGAUCCCACCCGGGCUCAUCCACUGAGGUGUAAAUUAUCAGAGCAGAUGCGGGGGCUGGGUGUGUGCUGCCUUUCCAGGUGAGCCAUCCCUCUGGAGCCCUGUCCCUGUAGGAUGAUGGGGCUCACCCUCAUGUGCUCCUGGCAAGUGGGACAUGUGCGUGAGGUGGUUUUCUUUGAUAGAGUUGAUCUGCCUAAAAAAUGGGGAUUGUAGAGCUUCCCCUCUCCAUAAAGACACCGUGAGGAUGAUCCAAUUAACACACAGAGAGUUGCUAGAGAACUGCAAAGGGAGAGCUUAUGAGAUGUAAAAUGCCAUUUGGUUUUUAAUGAAAAAAGGAUAAAGAGAUGAUCUUAAAAACAAACACAGAAUCAGUGUCAUGUGCCUUCUGCUCAUCCUUUGCUGUGGCCUAGUUUCUGUUUCAGUUGCCUGUGCACAUCUGGGCAUGCACAUCUGGAGAAGAGAUGGAGCUUCUUCUGCUUUUUUUACUGCCUGGAAGCUGAACAGACUCAAGAGCGAGUGUGUGCAGAGGUGCUGCUGCCCAGAGAAGGGUGAUCCCCACUUUCACUCCUUUGCUGCACUCUUGGCUACACUCUGAGAACAUGUACAGCCAGAAGAUUGACCUCCCUGGUAUUUUAUACCCAAAUUAAGAGUCAUAACCCUCCAGCCAGGGCAAACAACUGCUUAUUACAGGAGCUCAGAUCCAAAGUUUACCACCAUUCAUGGGGAGCUGGAUCCAAGGUUUUGGUUUGGCUGAUGAUAAAGAAAACCAAGCAAAGCUGAGUAAACCCAGAUCUGAACCACUCGCAGUGUCCGUGGCCAGGAACUGGGCUGCUUCCAGCUUAUCUUCACCGAAGCCCAUGGCCUGAGCUGCAAAAUCAAUUCUGGAGCACCAGAAGGGCUUGGGUAAAAAUACAUUGCUGUUACUCACACUCAAUAAAUACACGAUGUAAGACCUGCUGUGGUGAAGAAAGCUUCACCUGAGUGGUGACAUCUGAAUUGCUGCGCUGCACCCUCUGGAUUUGCGCCCUGGGUUUGCCGAGGGGCUGUUCCCACGGGGAGGCAGCCAGCACCAUUCCUGGCUCCUUGGAAAGCUGCGAGCGUUUCCCGAGCUGUGACACGGCCCGGAGGGCUCGGGCCCCUGCUCGAGGGGACAAACAGCGCAGCUGCCCGGGGCGCCCAGAGAGGCGGGAGGGAUGCGGGCGGCUCGUUCGUGCCAUUUGAUCCCAGGAAUCCCAGCCGAGGCACCGGCAAGCCCCGGCAGGAUCGCUCGGCGGGCUGUAAAGGGCAGGGAAAGGCGCUCGGAUGCAGGAGGUGACCCGGCGCCUCGGCGGGAUGCUCCCGCAGUGACAGCACAGCUGAUCCCCCUCCCAAACCAAAUCCUCUCCCUGAUCCCUCAUCUCGCGGCUCGACACAAACACAAACUGCCCUUUGCAGCUGAAGGAAAAGGGCAACCAGAUUUCUUGUCUCUGUCGACCUCAUCCUGACCGUUCCAGCGCUGGGAAUUCAAGAUCCCCGGUAUUUUUUGAAGCCUGAAGGCUGCUGAAGUACAAGUGCUUCCCUGCCUUUGCCUUUUAAUGGUAAUGGUUGAGGACUGUUUUCGUUGCAGUAAUGGUAAGAAACUAUGAAAGAAAAAAUAAAAGCCAACCCCCAGAUUUUUACUCACAAAUGGAAGGAGGCAGAUAUAGAAAAGUGACUGCAAGCCCUCGCACAGGUAAAAUUACAGAGCAGAAAACUCCAUCCUACUCUUCAGCUCUGAAAGUCUCUUCUCCAGUAAAAUGUACCUCCUGAGCUGGGGUAUUUCCCAAAUGAAAGCAAGUUUCAGAGCCAUGGUUUUGGAUGCCAUUCCAGUGGUCACAUGCAUGAAUGCUCUUCUGAACCUCUGCCUCCCUAAGUACCCCUCAGCUAAAUACCUGGCAGCUACUGGAGCUGACAGCACUGGGGAUCCUUAUGGAACAGAUCCU
Corvus hawaiiensis (hawaiian crow) is the source of this 9891-nucleotide long non-coding RNA. RefSeq lists it as uncharacterized. The transcript has 4 exons. The record is from RefSeq and is a predicted model, not a curated record. NCBI's taxonomy places the organism in Eukaryota, Metazoa, Chordata, Aves, Passeriformes, Corvidae.